This 372-nucleotide ribosomal RNA is filed under the name uncultured organism. Its description in RNAcentral is "partial 16S ribosomal RNA". It matches the Rfam family "Bacterial small subunit ribosomal RNA", at positions 527 to 896 of the family's 1533-position model. The record is from RNAcentral.
GUAGGUGGCAAGCGUUGUCCGGAAUUAUUGGGCGUAAAGCGCGCGCAGGCGGUUCUUUAAGUCUGAUGUGAAAGCCCACGGCUCAACCAUGGAGGGUCAUUGGAAACUGGAGAACUUGAGUACAGAAGAGGAAAGCGGAAUUCCACGUGUAGCGGUGAAAUGCGUAGAGAUGUGGAGGAACACCAGUGGCGAAGGCGGCUUUCUGGUCUGUAACUGACGCUGAGGCGCGAAAGCGUGGGGAGCAAACAGGAUUAGAUACCCUGGUAGUCCACGCCGUAAACGAUGAGUGCUAAGUGUUAGGGGGUUUCCGCCCCCCUUAGUGCUGCAGCUAACGCAUUAAGCACUCCGCCUGGGAGUACGGCCGCAAGGCUG